Molecule: unclassified non-coding RNA, 374 nt
Filed under: Zea mays
Lineage: Eukaryota; Viridiplantae; Streptophyta; Magnoliopsida; Poales; Poaceae
Description: misc RNA Zm00001eb021460
Source: RNAcentral
CCACAUCGCCCACCAGUUGAUCCACCAGCAUCCCCGUGACCAACGCGACGACCUCCCGCUCCUCCUCGCCGACCUGCAUCCACCUGCGGCCCCGCCCCAUCUCCGCCACGAUGUCCGCCCCGCCGCCACUGAGCACGUCCUUCAAGCCCCACCGCCCAUUCGCCGUUCCCUCCAGCCAGCCCCUGGCCGCUGCCACAGCCUCGCCGUCUACCAGCAGCCGCUCAGCCUCCCGUCGCAGCAGACCGGCCGCCGGCCCAGGGAGCUUGUUGCACGGCUCGGCGUGCGCUUCCGACCGCCGGCGUUUCGUGACCUCCACGAAGAAGUCGAGCAGAAGCCGUUCCGACACGCCGUCCAGGCCAGCCGAGACCGUGCGC